Molecule: ribosomal RNA, 586 nt
Filed under: uncultured bacterium
Lineage: Bacteria
Description: bacterial SSU rRNA
Rfam family: Bacterial small subunit ribosomal RNA
Source: RNAcentral
CCUACGGGAGGCAGCAGUGAGGAAUUUUCCGCAAUGGGCGAAAGCCUGACGGAGCAAUACCGCGUGAGGGAUGAAGGAUUUUGGUCUGUAAACCUCUUUUCUCAAGAAAGAAGUUCUGACGGUACUUGAGGAAUAAGCAUCGGCUAACUCCGUGCCAGCAGCCGCGGUAAUACGGGGGAUGCAAGCGUUAUCCGGAAUGAUUGGGCGUAAAGCGCCUGUAGGUUGUUUAUUAAGUCCGUUGUUAAAGCCUAGGGCUCAACCCUAGAAAAGCAAUGGAAACUAGUAGACUAGAGUAUGGCAGGGGUAGAGGGAAUUUCUAGUGUAGCGGUGAAAUGCGUAGAUAUUAGAAAGAACACCGGUGGCGAAAGCGCUCUACUGGACCAUUACUGACACUCAGAGGCGAAAGCUAGGGUAGCAAAAGGGAUUAGAUACCCCUGUAGUCCUAGCCGUAAACGAUGGAUACUAGAUGUUGUGCAUUAUGUACAGUAUCGUAGCUAACGCGUUAAGUAUCCCGCCUGGGGAGUACGCUCGCAAGGGUGAAACUCAAAUGAAUUGACGGCUGAGANGCGAGACGACACGAGGAGAG